Molecule: ribosomal RNA, 497 nt
Filed under: uncultured bacterium
Lineage: Bacteria
Description: partial 16S ribosomal RNA
Rfam family: Bacterial small subunit ribosomal RNA
Source: RNAcentral
GAUGAACGCUGGCGGCGUGCCUAAUACAUGCAAGUCGAGCGAACAGACGCGGAGCUUGCUCCUCUGACGUUAGCGGCGGACGGGUGAGUAACACGUGGAUAACCUACCUAUCAGACUGGGAUCACCUCGGAAAACCGGCGCUAAUACCGGAUAAUAUCUUGCACCGCAGUGUGCAUUAGUGAAAGACGGUUUUGCUGUAUCUUCUAGCUGGAUCCGCGCCGCAUUAGCUAGUUGGUAAGGUCACGGCUUACCAAGGGAACGAUGCGUAGCCGACCUGAGAGGGUGAUCGGCCGCACGGGAAGUGAGACACGGUCCAUACGCCUACGGGAGGCAGCAGUAGGGAAUGUUACGCAAUGGGCGAAAGCUUUACGGAGUAACGCCGCGUGAGUGAUGAAGGUCUUCGGAUCGGAAAACUCUGUUAUUAGGGAAGAACAAAUGUGGAAGUAACUAUGCACGUCGUGACGGUACCUAAUCAGAAAGCCACGGCUAACUACGUG